Pogona vitticeps (central bearded dragon) is the source of this 718-nucleotide non-coding RNA. The record is from RefSeq and is a predicted model, not a curated record. Lineage: Eukaryota; Metazoa; Chordata; Lepidosauria; Squamata; Agamidae.
AGAAGAUAGACGUACCAGGCUCUUCAACCCAGCAGUUGAAAGAAAGUGAAAGGAGAGUCCUGGCGCCAAGGGCUAUUCUACAAGAGAAACUCUGAAGAUAGUUCUCAUUCUUCUACAUUACCAGGAACAGAUGGAGCCAUCCAAGUGAAAAACAAGGCCUGCUCUGGCCUCCAUACAAACUGGUUUUGUGAGAUUUUGUGCUAUUUCACAAACUUCUCUGAAGGGAGACCCACCAGAAGGGCCAGGAGGUGGGGAAAUCCAACAGAAGCAGCCCAGGAAACAAUGUCGCUACCAGACUGUCUUUGACUUCCUAGGGGAAAAAAAUUAUCCACCCACUGACAUCAAAAAGGAAACAAUUUGAGGUCAAUUCCCAGGAAUUAUGGGAAGAAAGCUCUUGCAGUAUUAUGUCAACCUAAGUUGUUGCAAUAGGACAGAACACUAAUCCAAAUAUUCUAUUUUUUGUGGACAGGAACUGCUCCACUAAUUGGCCUUCCUUCCUUCUAACAUUUGGCAGCUUACUUUGCACAACAUCAUAGCCCAGAAGAUUGGAGGCUGAGAAAACCUAGAGAUUAAUUUUUCAGUAUUAAUUCAUGAUUUUUAAAAUCUUAUACUCCUUAAUUGAAUGUAAUGUGUUCCCUGUCACUGCCUGUGUAAGAAUCUUCUCCCCCUACUUUGACACGGCUAGAAUAAACACUCAUCUUUUUGUUUAAUAGUUUCC